Molecule: ribosomal RNA, 1680 nt
Filed under: Escherichia coli
Lineage: Bacteria; Pseudomonadati; Pseudomonadota; Gammaproteobacteria; Enterobacterales; Enterobacteriaceae
Description: partial 23S ribosomal RNA
Rfam family: Bacterial large subunit ribosomal RNA
Source: RNAcentral
CAUAGGUUAAUGAGGCGAACCGGGGGAACUGAAACAUCUAAGUACCCCGAGGAAAAGAAAUCAACCGAGAUUCCCCCAGUAGCGGCGAGCGAACGGGGAGCAGCCCAGAGCCUGAAUCAGUGAGUGUGUUAGUGGAAGCGUCUGGAAAGGCGCGCGAUACAGGGUGACAGCCCCGUACACAAAAAUGCACAUGCUGUGAGCUCGAUGAGUAGGGCGGGACACGUGGUAUCCUGUCUGAAUAUGGGGGGACCAUCCUCCAAGGCUAAAUACUCCUGACUGACCGAUAGUGAACCAGUACCGUGAGGGAAAGGCGAAAAGAACCCCGGCGAGGGGAGUGAAAAAGAACCUGAAACCGUGUACGUACAAGCAGUGGGAGCACGCUUCGGCGUGUGACUGCGUACCUUUUGUAUAAUGGGUCAGCGACUUAUAUUCUGUAGCAAGGUUAACCGAAUAGGGGAGCCGAAGGGAAACCGAGUCUUAACUGGGCGUUAAGUUGCAGGGUAUAGACCCGAAACCCGGUGAUCUAGCCAUGGGCAGGUUGAAGGUUGGGUAACACUAACUGGAGGACCGAACCGACUAAUGUUGAAAAAUUAGCGGAUGACUUGUGGCUGGGGGUGAAAGGCCAAUCAAACCGGGAGAUAGCUGGUUCUCCCCGAAAGCUAUUUAGGUAGCGCCUCGUGAAUUCAUCUCCGGGGGUAGAGCACUGUUUCGGCAAGGGGGUCAUCCCGACUUACCAACCCGAUGCAAACUGCGAAUACCGGAGAAUGUUAUCACGGGAGACACACGGCGGGUGCUAACGUCCGUCGUGAAGAGGGAAACAACCCAGACCGCCAGCUAAGGUCCCAAAGUCAUGGUUAAGUGGGAAACGAUGUGGGAAGGCCCAGACAGCCAGGAUGUUGGCUUAGAAGCAGCCAUCAUUUAAAGAAAGCGUAAUAGCUCACUGGUCGAGUCGGCCUGCGCGGAAGAUGUAACGGGGCUAAACCAUGCACCGAAGCUGCGGCAGCGACGCUUAUGCGUUGUUGGGUAGGGGAGCGUUCUGUAAGCCUGUGAAGGUGUGCUGUGAGGCAUGCUGGAGGUAUCAGAAGUGCGAAUGCUGACAUAAGUAACGAUAAAGCGGGUGAAAAGCCCGCUCGCCGGAAGACCAAGGGUUCCUGUCCAACGUUAAUCGGGGCAGGGUGAGUCGACCCCUAAGGCGAGGCCGAAAGGCGUAGUCGAUGGGAAACAGGUUAAUAUUCCUGUACUUGGUGUUACUGCGAAGGGGGGACGGAGAAGGCUAUGUUGGCCGGGCGACGGUUGUCCCGGUUUAAGCGUGUAGGCUGGUUUUCCAGGCAAAUCCGGAAAAUCAAGGCUGAGGCGUGAUGACGAGGCACUACGGUGCUGAAGCAACAAAUGCCCUGCUUCCAGGAAAAGCCUCUAAGCAUCAGGUAACAUCAAAUCGUACCCCAAACCGACACAGGUGGUCAGGUAGAGAAUACCAAGGCGCUUGAGAGAACUCGGGUGAAGGAACUAGGCAAAAUGGUGCCGUAACUUCGGGAGAAGGCACGCUGAUAUGUAGGUGAAGUCCCUCGCGGAUGGAGCUGAAAUCAGUCGAAGAUACCAGCUGGCUGCAACUGUUUAUUAAAAACACAGCACUGUGCAAACACGAAAGUGGACGUAUACGGUGUGACGCCUGCCCGGUGC